Long non-coding RNA from Daphnia carinata, 429 nucleotides. RefSeq lists it as uncharacterized. The transcript is spliced from 3 exons. The record is from RefSeq and is a predicted model, not a curated record. NCBI's taxonomy places the organism in Eukaryota, Metazoa, Arthropoda, Branchiopoda, Diplostraca, Daphniidae.
GAUGCAAAUCCUAUGGAUAGGAAUACUAUAAUAUCAUUCUUCUACUCUUUAACCACUCAUGGUCUCCUGUCAAUCGUGAUCUGAGUGGUGCACCAUUCUUACUAAGAUUUAAAAAUUCUUCUCUCAUAUUCAUCUUCGUUGCACUGUCAACUGUAACAACAGUCAUUUCGGCAGUUGUAAUCUCUACUUAGCCUACCAACAGACAUAGACAUGUACCUCAACACAACUUCUACUGAACUGCCACCUCUUUGCCGUCUGCUGCCUAUUUGCUGGCCCUACAGUCUUUCUAGCCUUCGAACAGCAGAAAACAAAGCCUUCUUCGUCUUUGCCACGCCCGGCGUCGCUUCGGCCGUCGUCCCGACUUUGCAUCGCCAGUCGUCCCGUCUUAGCAUCGCCCGUCGUCCCGUCUUCGCAUCGCCCGUCAUCCCG